GAUCCUGGCUCUGGACGAACGCUGGCGGCGUGCCUAAUACAUGCAAGUCGAGCGGACGAUUCAAAAGCUUGCUUUUGAAUCGUUAGCGGCGGACGGGUGAGUAACACGUGGGCAACCUGCCCUGUAGACGGGGAUAACACCGAGAAAUCGGUGCUAAUACCGGAUAACACGGAAGACCGCAUGGUUUUUCGUUGAAAGGCGGCGCAAGCUGUCGCUACAGGAUGGGCCCGCGGCGCAUUAGCUAGUUGGUGAGGUAACGGCUCACCAAGGCGACGAUGCGUAGCCGACCUGAGAGGGUGAUCGGCCACACUGGGACUGAGACACGGCCCAGACUCCUACGGGAGGCAGCAGUAGGGAAUCUUCCGCAAUGGACGAAAGUCUGACGGAGCAACGCCGCGUGAGCGAAGAAGGCCUUCGGGUCGUAAAGCUCUGUUGUUAGGGAAGAACAAGUACCGCAGUCACUGGCGGUACCUUGACGGUACCUAACGAGAAAGCCACGGCUAACUACGUGCCAGCAGCCGCGGUAAUACGUAGGUGGCAAGCGUUGUCCGGAAUUAUUGGGCGUAAAGCGCGCGCAGGCGGUUCCUUAAGUCUGAUGUGAAAGCCCACGGCUCAACCGUGGAGGGUCAUUGGAAACUGGGGGACUUGAGUGCAGAAGAGGAGAGCGGAAUUCCACGUGUAGCGGUGAAAUGCGUAGAGAUGUGGAGGAACACCAGUGGCGAAGGCGGCUCUCUGGUCUGUAACUGACGCUGAGGCGCGAAAGCGUGGGGAGCAAACAGGAUUAGAUACCCUGGUAGUCCACGCCGUAAACGAUGAGUGCUAAGUGUUA
This 829-nucleotide ribosomal RNA is filed under the name uncultured organism. RNAcentral describes it as "SSU rRNA". It matches the Rfam family "Bacterial small subunit ribosomal RNA", at positions 15 to 825 of the family's 1533-position model. The record is from RNAcentral.